Molecule: ribosomal RNA, 1028 nt
Filed under: Thyridium curvatum
Lineage: Eukaryota; Fungi; Ascomycota; Sordariomycetes; Thyridiales; Thyridiaceae
Description: SSU rRNA
Rfam family: Eukaryotic small subunit ribosomal RNA
Source: RNAcentral
CAUUAUACCGCGAAACUGCGAAUGGCUCAUUAAAUCAGUUAUCGUUUAUUUGAUAGUACCUUACUACUUGGAUAACCGUGGUAAUUCUAGAGCUAAUACAUGCUAAAAAUCCCGACUUCGGAAGGGAUGUAUUUAUUAGAUUAAAAACCAAUGCCCUUCGGGGCUCACUGGUGAUUCAUAAUAACUUCUCGAAUCGCAUGGCCUUGCGCCGGCGAUGGUUCAUUCAAAUUUCUGCCCUAUCAACUUUCGACGGCUGGGUCUUGGCCAGCCAUGGUGACAACGGGUAACGGAGGGUUAGGGCUCGACCCCGGAGAAGGAGCCUGAGAGACGGCUACUACAUCCAAGGAAGGCAGCAGGCGCGCAAAUUACCCAAUCCCGACACGGGGAGGUAGUGACAAUAAAUACUGAUACAGGGCUCUUUAGGGUCUUGUAAUUGGAAUGAGUACAAUUUAAAUCCCUUAACGAGGAACAAUUGGAGGGCAAGUCUGGUGCCAGCAGCCGCGGUAAUUCCAGCUCCAAUAGCGUAUAUUAAAGUUGUUGCAGUUAAAAAGCUCGUAGUUGAACCUUGGGCCUGGCUGGCCGGUCCGCCUCACCGCGUGCACUGGUCCGGCCGGGUCUUUCCCUCUGGGGAACCGCAUGCCCUUCACUGGGUGUGCUGGGGAACCAGGACUUUUACUUUGAAAAAAUUAGAGUGUUCAAAGCAGGCCUAUGCUCGAAUACAUUAGCAUGGAAUAAUAGAAUAGGACGUGUGGUUCUAUUUUGUUGGUUUCUAGGACCGCCGUAAUGAUUAAUAGGGACAGUCGGGGGCAUCAGUAUUCAAUUGUCAGAGGUGAAAUUCUUGGAUUUAUUGAAGACUAACUACUGCGAAAGCAUUUGCCAAGGAUGUUUUCAUUAAUCAGGAACGAAAGUUAGGGGAUCGAAGACGAUCAGAUACCGUCGUAGUCUUAACCAUAAACUAUGCCGACUAGGGAUCGGAGCGAAGUUAUUUUUUGACUCGUUCGGCACCUUACACGAAAGUAUAAGUUUCU